ACGGAUAUGGCUCAGUUUGGUAGAGCGCUUGCUUCGGGAGCAAGAGGUCACAGGUUCAAAUCCUGUUAUCCGUACCA
This 77-nucleotide transfer RNA is filed under the name compost metagenome. RNAcentral describes it as "tRNA-Pro". It matches the Rfam family "tRNA". Rfam says of the family: Transfer RNA (tRNA) molecules are approximately 80 nucleotides in length. The record is from RNAcentral.